Molecule: transfer RNA, 73 nt
Filed under: Astropecten duplicatus
Lineage: Eukaryota; Metazoa; Echinodermata; Asteroidea; Paxillosida; Astropectinidae
Description: tRNA-Leu
Rfam family: tRNA
About the family: Transfer RNA (tRNA) molecules are approximately 80 nucleotides in length. Their secondary structure includes four short double-helical elements and three loops (D, anti-codon, and T loops).
Source: RNAcentral
GUUAGAAUAGCAAAGGGCAAAAUGCAAUAGAUUUAGGAUCUGUCAUUCAAGAGUUCGAGUCUCUUUUCUAGUU